Molecule: long non-coding RNA, 1361 nt
Organism: Eriocheir sinensis (Chinese mitten crab)
Lineage: Eukaryota; Metazoa; Arthropoda; Malacostraca; Decapoda; Varunidae
Exons: 3
Source: RefSeq, a predicted model, not a curated record
AGCUCGUUAGCCGUGGUAGGCAGUCUGCCUAGGAGAGCAAACUCCGAACAAUAAACCCGGGCAGGUGGAGCUCGUUAGCCGUGGUAGGCAAUUCACCUAGGAGAGCAAACUCUAAACAAACCCGGGCAGGUGGAGGUCGUUAGCCGUGGGAGGCAAUUCACCUAGGAGAGCAAACUCCGAACAAUAAACCCGGGCAGGUGGAGGUCGUUAGCCAUGGUAGGCAAUUCACCUAGGAGAGCAAACUCCGAACAAUAAACCCGGGCAGGUGGAGGUCGUCAGCCGUGGUAGGCAAUCUGCCUAGGAGAGCAAACUCCGAACAAUAAACCCGGCCAGGUGGAGGUCGUCAGCCGUGGUAGGCAAUCUGCCUAGGAGAGCAAACUCCGAACAAUAAACCCGGGCAGGUGGAGGUCGUCAGCCGUGGUAGGCAAUCUGCCUAGGAGAGCAAACUCUAAACAAACCCGGGCUUGUGGUGCUCGUUAUACUGUCGUAGACAAUCCACGCGAUGGGAACAUCAAAGAAAAGGAAAAUAAAAAGGAACACCAGAAAAAUGGAAAAUACAGAAACGAAACAUCAAGAAAAGAAACAAAAAGAUCAUCCACCUUUAGGCCCUAACAUCGCCAAAAUUAUGGAUGGGUCUCUUCUGGGGAGAAAGCGGCUCAUCCAGACCAAAGAACAUCAACCAAAGGAUGAUAUGAAUAAAUGAAAUAAAAAAAAACAAAGAAAAACACAUCAAGGAAAGAAAAAUAUAACAAACAUCAUCCACCUUCCGGCCCUGACUAACAUCACCAAAAUUAUGGGUGGGUCUCUUCUGGGGAGAAAGCGGCUCACCCAGACCAAAGAACAUCAACAAAGGAUGAUAUAGAAAAGAACACCAAAAAAAAUGGAAAAAGAUCAGAAAAAACAUCGAAAAAGAAAAGCAACAGAAAUAAAUGAACAACAUCAAGAAAAGAUAAAUACAAAGAAGCAUCAUCCACCUUUCGGUCCCAAACAACAUCACCAAAAUUAUGGAUGGGUCUCUUCUGGGAGGAAAGCGGCUCAUCCAGACCAAGGAACAUCAACCAAAGGAUGAUAGAAAAAAAGAACAUCAAAAAGCAUCAAUAAGAAGUAAAAGAAAAAGAACAGGAAAACAUCGAAACAGAAAACUAAAGCAAUAAAAAGAACGAAAAACACGACAUCAAGAAAAUGAAAUAAAACAAACAUCAUCCACCUUUUGGCCCUAACAACAUCUCCAAAAUUAUGGGUGGGUCUCUUCUGGGAGGAAAGCGGCUCACCCAGACCAACGAACAUCGACAAAAGGAUGAUAGGAAAAAAGAACACCAAAAAAGAACAUCAAAAAAGAAAACCAACACCGAGAAAACACA